This 72-nucleotide transfer RNA is filed under the name Stegodyphus dumicola. Its description in RNAcentral is "tRNA-Glu". It matches the Rfam family "tRNA". From Rfam's summary of the family: Transfer RNA (tRNA) molecules are approximately 80 nucleotides in length. Their secondary structure includes four short double-helical elements and three loops (D, anti-codon, and T loops). Lineage: Eukaryota; Metazoa; Arthropoda; Arachnida; Araneae; Eresidae. The record is from RNAcentral.
UCCCAUGUGGUCUAGUGGUUAGGAUACCUGGCUUUCACCUAGGCGGCCCGGGUUCGAUUCCCGGCAUGGGAA